GACGAACGCUGGCGGCGUGCUUAACACAUGCAAGUCGAACGGAAAGGCCCUGCUUUUGUGGGGUGCUCGAGUGGCGAACGGGUGAGUAACACGUGAGUAACCUGCCCUUGACUUUGGGAUAACUUCAGGAAACUGGGGCUAAUACCGGAUAGGAGCUCCUGCUGCAUGGUGGGGGUUGGAAAGUUUCGGCGGUUGGGGAUGGACUCGCGGCUUAUCAGCUUGUUGGUGGGGUAGUGGCUUACCAAGGCUUUGACGGGUAGCCGGCCUGAGAGGGUGACCGGCCACAUUGGGACUAAGAUACGGCCCAGGCUCCUACGGGAGGCAGCAGUGGCGCAUAUUGCACUAUGGGCGGAGGCCUGAUGAAGUCACGCCGCGUGCGGGAUGACGGCCUUCGGGUUGUAAACCGCUUUCGCCUGUGACGAAGCGUGAGUGACGGUAAUGGGUAAAGAAGCACCGGCUAACUACGUG
This 468-nucleotide ribosomal RNA is filed under the name uncultured bacterium. RNAcentral describes it as "partial 16S ribosomal RNA". It matches the Rfam family "Bacterial small subunit ribosomal RNA", at positions 28 to 507 of the family's 1533-position model. The record is from RNAcentral.